AGAGUUUGAUCCUGGCUCAGGACGAACGCUGGCGGCGUGCCUAACACAUGCAAGUCGAGCGGACCCGUUCCCUCUCCUCGGAGAGGGGCCGGGUUAGCGGCGAACGGGUGAGUAACACGUGGGUAACCUACCCCGAAGACUGGGAUAACCCCGGGAAACCGGGGCUAAUACCGGAUACCUUCCCACCGCCGCAUGGUGGAGGGAAGAAAGGUUGGCUUCGGCCUUCCGCUUCGGGAUGGGCCCGCGGCCCAUUAGCUUGUUGGUGGGGUAACGGCCUACCAAGGCGACGAUGGGUAGCCGGCCUGAGAGGGUGUCCGGCCACACUGGGACUGAGACACGGCCCAGACUCCUACGGGAGGCAGCAGUGAGGAAUAUUGCGCAAUGGGCGAAAGCCUGACGCAGCGACGCCGCGUGGACGAUGAAGGCCUUCGGGUUGUAAAGUCCUGUCAGGAGGGACGAAGCGGCCUCGUGCCGUGACGGUACCUCGGUAGGAAGCCCCGGCUAACUACGUGCCAGCAGCCGCGGUAAGACGUAGGGGGCUAGCGUUGUCCGGAAUUACUGGGCGUAAAGAGCUCGUAGGCGGCCCGUUAAGUCGGGUGUGAAAGCCCUCGGGCUCAACCGAGGAAUUGCACUCGAUACUGGCGGGCUAGAGUCUGGUAGAGGGAGGUGGAAUUCCCGGUGUAGCGGUGAAAUGCGCAGAUAUCGGGAGGAACACCGGGUGGCGAGGCGGGCCUCCUGGCCACGACUGACGCUGAGAGCGAAAAGCUGGGGGGAGCGAACAGGAUUAGAUACCCUGGUAGUCCCAGGCCGUAACGAUGGGCACUAGGUGUGGGGGGUUACCAACUCCCUCCGUGCGAAGCUAACGCAUUAAGUGCGCCGCCUGGGGAGUACGGCCGCAGAGUUAAAACUCAAAUGAAUUGGACG
Molecule: ribosomal RNA, 924 nt
Filed under: bacterium enrichment culture clone BSK_42
Lineage: Bacteria
Description: bacterial SSU rRNA
Rfam family: Bacterial small subunit ribosomal RNA
Source: RNAcentral